RNAcentral lists this ribosomal RNA (321 nucleotides) under uncultured bacterium. RNAcentral describes it as "bacterial SSU rRNA". It matches the Rfam family "Bacterial small subunit ribosomal RNA", at positions 30 to 333 of the family's 1533-position model. The record is from RNAcentral.
AGUGAACGCUGGCGGCAGGCCUAACACAUGCAAGUCGAGCGGCAGCGGGUCCCCGCGAGGGGAUGCCGGCGAGCGGCGGACGGGUGAGGAACACAUCGGAAUCUGCCUGGUUGUGGGGGAUAACGUAGGGAAACUUACGCUAAUACCGCAUGCGACCCUGAGUCGACGGACUUGGGGUGAAAGUGAGGGACCUUCGGGCCUCACGCGACCAGAUGAGCCGAUGUCGGAUUAGCUAGUUGGCGGGGUAACGGCCCGCCAAGGCGACGAUCCGUAGCUGGUCUGAGAGGAUGAUCAGCCACACUGGGACUGAGACACGGCCCA